GUUUCGUAAAUAUUUCUUCUUCUCCUUUACAUUCAAGGUGGUCUUGGAAAAUUUGUAUAUGCUGACAUCAGAUAGCAUGAAAAUGACAUUUCACAUUUCUGCAUGAUGAUGCUACUUGUUUUGAAUGCUUUUUUAAAAAGAGGCUUGUAGCACCCUAUAAUGUAAUAAUUUCCUGAAAAUGUAAUACAAUUUGCACUUUACUCGAUCUAAAAUGUUACAAAAAAAACGAUAAUGUAAUAACUUCACCAAUAAUGUAAUAAAAUAUUCUGACUGAUAUUGUAAUAACAUUUUAUUACAUUUUCAGGAGUUUUUUUCCCCCAAAACUGAUUAUGAAAUACUUGACAGAUAAUAUAUAUAUAUAUAUAUGUUCCUUUUCAGUCCAGAGUUCUACAUUUUGUGUAAUCUAAGAAUGUUAUAUACACUGUUUUUGAAACAACAGAAAGACUAUUGGGUUAAAUAGACCGACCUUGAGUACCACACGGUCUUAUGUACGUGUACAAAUACGAAGGGACAUGCAACUACAUCCUGGUCUUAUGAGUGGGUGAUGGACUUACCUCCUUGGGAUACCAGAAUUCCAACUCAGAUAAACUUCUGAGCAUCACUGGAGACCUUUAGGGAUGGGCAACUGGAGGCCCGGGGGCCGCAUACGGCCCUAACCCUCACUUGAAGUGGCCCUCAGUACAACUACAUGCAUUUGAGCAUGAAAUCUUAAAAGUGCAGUGUAGAAAUGCACAAAAUUACUUCUUGCAAUUAAUGUUGGUCUGCUGUUCUUGCACUGAAAAAAAAAAUCACAGUAAGUGGUUAUUUUUUAUUUGCUUCAAACCUUUUGUAUUCCUAUUUAUAUUCCUAUUAUAUUCAUUUUUUGUACUUUCUAUAUUGCUGAUUGAUAUUUACAUGUGCACAUCAUCCAGGCGAAAAAUAACCCUUUACCCCCGCUGCUGAAAGAAAUCCUAGAGGAAACACUGGUUGAACCAUAACAGUCUCGAGUAAACCAGCAGUGGUGACAGGUUUUAGUUGGAAAGUUGCUUUAGGAAGUUCACAGUUUAAAUUCUUUAGUUAUGUUGUUGCAUGAGCAGGUCAGUCCUGGACUUUCCUUAACACGGGUGUCGAUUAAGAAAAAGAACUGAAGAAACUUAAGAGAAUUAUUUAACUUUUAUGAUUUAAAAAUAUAACUAAAUAAAUCUGUAUAGACUCUAAAUCAGGGAUGGGCAACUGAAGGCCCGGGGGCCGCAUCCGGCCCACACCCUCACUUGAAGUGGCCCUCAGUACAACUACAUGCAUUUGAGCAUUUUUUGAGCAAAUCUUAAAAGUGCACAAGUGUAAAAAUGCACAAAAUUACUUGCAAUUAAUGUUGGUCUGCUGUUCUUGCACUGGAAAAAGAAAGUAAUCAUAGUAAGUGGUUAUUUUUUAUUUGCUUCAAACCUUUUGUAUUCCUAUUUAUACUGUUCUACACGCAUUUGAGCAUGAAAUAUAAGUUACUGCACUGUAAGCAUAUUUAAAAUUGCAAUUUCAUCAUAUCUGGUUAAGUGCACGGUCCUAUAUGUGGCCCUGUGGUAGUGUCCAUGAAAAAUUGUGGCCCCUUCCAGCAUUUAAGUUGCCCAUCCCUGCUCUAUGUCAAGUGACAUAGUGGUCAGCUGACAUACUGUCUUAAUUAUAGUAUAUUAUGACAUUUACUUAAGACCAGGAUGUAGUUGCAUGUCCCUGCAUAUCUGUGCAAUCUAACCCAAUAGUCUUUCUGUUGUUUCAAAUCCGGUGUGUAUAACAUUCUUAGAUUAUCAAAAAACAAAAUGUAGAACUCUGGACUGAAAAUGAACAUAUAUAUAUUACAUUAUCUGUCAAGUAUUACAUAAUCCAUUUUGGGGAAAAAACAACUCCUGAAAAUGUAAUAAAAAUGUUAUUACAAUAUCACUCAGGAUAUUUUAUUACAUUAUUGGUGAAGUUAUUGCAUUAUUGGGUUGUAUUACAUUUUCGAUUGAGUUAAGUGCAAAUUUUAUUACAUUUUCAGGUGUUAUUACAUUAUCAGGAAAUUAUUACAUUAUAGGGUGCUACAAGUCUUAAACGUACAGUGUCUAAAUGUAAAAACAAACAAACCCUAAAAUAAAAUGCAAAAACAGGAUUAAAGUGUUAUAUUAUUUGAACAUGUGUUAAUUUUUUAAGUAAAUUCAUACUUUUAGUAAAAAUGCAUAUGAAAUGUAUUGCUCCACCUGUAACUAAUGCUUUAAAAGUUCAAAUAUGAAAUAUCUUCCGGGAGCAGCGGCAUGUUUUAUAUCUUGUACAGAGAUAGAGAGAGAUUUGAGUCUUUAACCCUUUAUAAUGACAUUUAUUGUUUUUUCAAGCAGGGGUUCCAAACCUGGGACCCCGCGAGUGGUCAUGGGAUGAAUCUAAGAGGUCACCAAUAGUAAAAGAAAAAAAAAGAAAGAAAAAAGAAUUUUGUUACAGCAUCUUGUGUUUGUUUUUUCUGUAAUCAUGGCCUCUUUUAUGUGAAACUCUCAGUAAUUUUCUAGCCACACAGCAAUGAUCUGGGUCCAAGCAGGUUGAACUAAACAAGCUCUUGAAAAAACAAACCAUAUUCAUGAUUUGUUUGCAAGUAGCAAAACUUGAAUGGGAAAAAAAUAAUAACAACUACACAUCAUUCUGCUGGUUUCAUCUGUACUGUAUGUGUCAGUUUUGGCAGCCUUGUGGAGAUAUACAUGUAGAGGGAACUGAUUUGACAUAUUUUCAAAUUGAUCUGAAUUGAGUACAGGUGAUUUAUUUAGAUUCUCUAAUUUUUUUUGCAAAUUCUAUGCAUUGACUGAGUCAUGACACUAGAUUGUGCAAACCGAAUUUCGUAUGAAUGCAUGCAGCCAAUGCAGGAGUUUUUUGGAUCUGUGGCGCCCCCUUGAGGCUCAAAUUUCAAUGCAUACAUGAGCAACUGCAAAUUGAUGAAUCAAUGAAUAAAUAAAAUAAAAUAAAAAAUAAUAAAAUAAAAAUAAAAAUCAAAA
This is a long non-coding RNA of Centropristis striata (black sea bass), 2981 nucleotides long. RefSeq lists it as uncharacterized. Lineage: Eukaryota; Metazoa; Chordata; Actinopteri; Perciformes; Serranidae. The record is from RefSeq and is a predicted model, not a curated record. The transcript has 2 exons.